Molecule: long non-coding RNA, 1577 nt
Organism: Amphiprion ocellaris (clown anemonefish)
Lineage: Eukaryota; Metazoa; Chordata; Actinopteri; Pomacentridae
Source: Ensembl
CAUAGGGUGGCAACUGCCACCCCUAGAAGAUGCCUUGCCACCCCGGCUGCCACCCCAGUUCUGAACGAUCUAAUUCAAAAAUAUGUAUAUGAAAGGCUGUGGCCGGCCGUAAAGAGCGAAAGUCCAGGAAAGACGAAUAACGAGUGAAACUCCGAUGUCCGAGUGCUUUCGAACGCACCAUGUUGACGUCACGUCCUGUACAGUCUAUGCUGCUACAGAUACGAGGCGACACGACCCCCCUGAGGGAGCUGCUCUUAGACCUCACUCAUGUGGAUGACAGCUGGACUUCGGUGUGGCCGGCAAAACGUGACAAGUGAAAGUAGCAGUUCCUCCUUAAGGUCAGAGAUUGCAGCAUCUGAGGGCCUCUUCAAAAGAAGAUGUAGUUGAUGAAGGCGUUCUGGAGCAGGACCAGAAAGACCACGACCAAGCAGCCUUGAGAUCUUAGGCAGCGUCUCCCUCAGACAUCCACCAACCACUGGAACACAUCUCCAAAGUUCUGCCGGGCCAGCUCAGCUUCCCCUCAGAAGAAGUGCAGCCACCUGCCAGAUGAAGGAGCCUUUUGAGAGGCAGCUGGCAUCGUGAUUGGACUGUACUUUGGUCUGUUCCAGUCCAGCUUCAGCUCCAGAGACGGCAGGCGGGACGAGUCAACGGAGGCCGGGUGGACGAAGACCAAAGAACUACAGACUCUUCACAACCUGCUCAAACUCUUGGUACAGGACCUCACCACACGGGUCAAAGUUUCCUUCUCAUUUCUACUCUGAAGAUCACCUUCUCCUGCUCAAACUGCUGACAAAUGUUUCUGCUGCUCUAAAGUCUGGUCUCCAGAACUUCCUAAAAACUCUCAAAGUCUCUUCUGCUGCAGGUUGCUUUGUAGAACUGUUGCAGAAAACCUCACUAAACCACAUGGAGGGGCCUCAAGAUAGUUGUCCAAAUGAAACCAUACAAAAACCAAACUAGCACAACCCAAACGCUAAAGUCUCCUGCAGCCGACCAGAGAACCUCCGAGAACAGAGAAUCAGGACAGGAACUCUUACCUUCUGGACAACCAACGCUGGUUCUCAAACAAGAAUACAGAAUGUGUCUGACCAAAAAACUCUAAAGACUCACUACAGCCAAGAUAAAGACACAACUCAGCUGCACCAAAUCCACUAAUCACUGCACACAUUAGCACCAUGUGCUAACUGUGGCUAUAGAACCACAUUUACCAAGACAACUAUCCAGUACAAAGUCCUAAAACACACCAAGAAACACAUUAAAGACGAUUUUACUGCUGGAAGCUGCAAGCCAACGCCUAAAGAACAAACUACAGCAAUGGAGCCAAACCCGGUUCUGUGGUGAAGAGAAGCAGAGGAAAUGUUUGUCUGCAGCUAAAUAAAGCAGGAAGACACUGAGCUGCUCAGGUGUUCCUGAUAACACCAAGCUGCUCAGGUGUUCCUGAUAACACCAAGCAGCCACCUGGACAGCCAAUAGGAACACAGCUUACUGGAAGUCCAGAGGGCUGGGUUAGUGAAGGAAAUUUAGUUUAAAGUUGAGGCAGAAAGUUAACAAAGAAAGUUGAAAACCACCUUCUGAUCCCU